AUUGAACGCUGGCGGCAUGCCUUACACAUGCAAGUCGAACGGCAGCAUGGAGAGCUUGCUCUCUGAUGGUGAGUGGCGAACGGGUGAGUAAUACAUCGGAACGUACCUUAUCGUGGGGGAUAACGCAGCGAAAGUUGCGCUAAUACCGCAUACGCCCUGAGGGGGAAAGCGGGGGACCGUACGGCCUCGCGCGAUUAGAGCGGCCGAUGUCUGAUUAGCUUGUUGGUGAGGUAAAAGCUCACCAAGGUGAUGAUCAGUAGCUGGUCUGAGAGGACGAUCAGCCACACUGGGACUGAGACACGGCCCAGACUCCUACGGGAGGCAGCAGUGGGGAAUGUUGGACAAUGGGGGCAACCCUGAUCCGGCUAUGCCGCGUGAGUGAAGAAGGCCUUCGGGUUGUAAAGCUCUUUUGUCAGGGAAGAAACAGCAGCUCUAACACAGUCUGCGAAUGACGGUACCUGAAGAAUAAGCACCGGCUAACUACGUGCCAGCAGCCGCGGUAA
This 503-nucleotide ribosomal RNA is filed under the name uncultured bacterium. Its description in RNAcentral is "partial 16S ribosomal RNA". It matches the Rfam family "Bacterial small subunit ribosomal RNA", at positions 30 to 523 of the family's 1533-position model. The record is from RNAcentral.